ACGAACGCUGGCGGCAGGCCUAACACAUGCAAGUCGAACGGGUGUAGCAAUACAUCAGUGGCGCACGGGUGAGUAACGCGUGGGAACGUGCCCUUCACUACGGAACAACGUCGGGAAACUGACGCUAAUACCGUAUAAUGUCUCCGGACCAAAGAUUUAUCGGUGAAGGAUCGGCCCGCGUCUGAUUAGCUAGUUGGUGAGGUAAAAGCUCACCAAGGCGACGAUCAGUAGCUGGUUUGAGAGAAUGAUCAGCCACACUGGGACUGAGACACGGCCCAGACUCCUACGGGAGGCAGCAGUGAGGAAUCUUGGACAAUGGGCGCAAGCCUGAUCCAGCCAUGCCGCGUGAGUGAUGAAGGCCUUAGGGUUGUAAAGCUCUUUUGGCGGGGAUGAUAAUGACCGUACCCGCAGAAUAAGCCACGGCUAAAUUCGU
RNAcentral lists this ribosomal RNA (433 nucleotides) under uncultured bacterium. RNAcentral describes it as "bacterial SSU rRNA". It matches the Rfam family "Bacterial small subunit ribosomal RNA", at positions 29 to 506 of the family's 1533-position model. The record is from RNAcentral.